This 254-nucleotide ribosomal RNA is filed under the name uncultured bacterium. RNAcentral describes it as "partial 16S ribosomal RNA". It matches the Rfam family "Bacterial small subunit ribosomal RNA", at positions 524 to 776 of the family's 1533-position model. The record is from RNAcentral.
GACGAACCGUCCAAACGUUAUUCGGAAUCACUGGGCUUAAAGGGCGCGUAGGCGGCCGAGCGGGUCACGGGUGAAAUCCUCCAGCUUAACUGGAGAACUGCCCUUGAUACCACUGCGGCUCGAGGAAGGAAGGGGCAAUUGGAACUGUCGGUGGAGCGGUGAAAUGCGUUGAUAUCGACAGGAACGCCUGUGGCGAAAGCGAAUUGCUGGUCCUUUUCUGACGCUGAUGCGCGAAAGCCAGGGGAGCAAACGGG